This 697-nucleotide long non-coding RNA is filed under the name Brassica rapa (field mustard). Its description in RNAcentral is "long non-coding RNA (BRAP_LNC001565)". Lineage: Eukaryota; Viridiplantae; Streptophyta; Magnoliopsida; Brassicales; Brassicaceae. The record is from RNAcentral.
GUUGAUACAACCUAUGAAAAUCACAAGAAUGUGACACAUACACGAACUCACGAAGUAAAGGCUAGUUUCGUUUGUGUAGGUGUACUUCACAAACUGUUCAAUAUAACUCACUAGGGCCAAUGAUUUUCAGGUAUAUAUUAUUUUCUUAACUUUCUCUCUUAUAAAUUGGUAGUAUUACAUUAUUAUAAUUUACAAACUAAGCUAAGUGAUGUAUAAUUUACAUUAUUAUAAUUUGUUACAGUUUUGGGAACUUAAAAAUGUAGUAUAACCUUUAUUUGAGGUCUGUGUUCAAAAAAAAAAAAAAAACCUUUAUUUGAGGUCAUCCCAAGAGUGCCUACGUUGAUUAACAAAGAAACCGUUCACACAAAUGCAAUGUAAUAAAAUUUCACAUUUGGUUCUUGUCCUAUAUAAUAUCCAAUCACUGACUACUAUUAAUUACAUACCGAAUAUAAAAAAAACACUCAAUAACUUAUUACAAUUCUCUAAUAAAAAAUGUGGAUGAUCAACAAGUUUUUCUUCCUUCUUCCAGUUGCAUGCAUGGCCGUGUUGGGUACAGCUCAAACGUUGCCUUCGCAGCCUAUACCUGGACAGGACCCAAUAGAUUGUAUGUCAUCCCUGUAUGCUAUUCCGAACUGUCUCCAAGAAAUUGCCCAACCGUUUGUAAACGGAGAAUUCGGGACUAUCGGUCACUCUUGUU